GACGAACGCUGGCGGCGUGCCUAAUACAUGCAAGUCGAGCGCGGGAAGCAAGCGGAUCCCCUUCGGGGGUGACGCUUGUGGAACGAGCGGCGGACGGGUGAGUAACACGUGGGCAACCUGCCUGUAAGACUGGGAUAACCCCGGGAAACCGGGGCUAAUACCGGAUAACACCGGACUCCACAUGGAGUCCUGUUGAAAGAUGGCUUCUCGCUAUCACUUACAGAUGGGCCCGCGGCGCAUUAGCUAGUUGGUGAGGUAACGGCUCACCAAGGCGACGAUGCGUAGCCGACCUGAGAGGGUGAUCGGCCACACUGGGACUGAGACACGGCCCAGACUCCUACGGGAGGCAGCAGUAGGGAAUCUUCCGCAAUGGACGAAAGUCUGACGGAGCAACGCCGCGUGAACGAUGAAGGUCUUCGGAUCGUAAAGUUCUGUUGUCAGGGAAGAACAAGUGCCGUGCGAAUAGAGCGGCACCUUGACGGUACCUGACGAGGAAGCCCCGGCUAACUACGUGCCAGCCGCCGCGGUAACAC
Molecule: ribosomal RNA, 533 nt
Filed under: uncultured bacterium
Lineage: Bacteria
Description: bacterial SSU rRNA
Rfam family: Bacterial small subunit ribosomal RNA
Source: RNAcentral